UAGCUAGUUGGUGAGGUAAAGGCUUACCAAGGCGACGAUCUGUAGCGGGUCUGAGAGGAUGAUCCGCCACACUGGAACUGAGACACGGUCCAGACUCCUACGGGAGGCAGCAGUGGGGAAUUUUGGACAAUGGGGGCAACCCUGAUCCAGCCAUGCCGCGUGAGUGAAGAAGGCCUUCGGGUUGUAAAGCUCUUUCGGCCGGGAAGAAAUCGCAUGGGCCAAUACCCUGUGUGGAUGACGGUACCGGAAUAAGAAGCACCGGCUAACUACGUGCCAGCAGCCGCGGUAAUACGUAGGUGCGAGCGUUAAUCGGAAUUACUGGGCGUAAAGCGUGCGCAGGCGGUUUUGUAAGACAGGCGUGAAAUCCCCGGGCUUAACCUGGGAACUGCGUUUGUGACUGCAAGGCUAGAGUACGGCAGAGGGGGGUGGAAUUCCACGUGUAGCAGUGAAAUGCGUAGAGAUGUGGAGGAACACCAAUGGCGAAGGCAGCCCCCUGGGUCGAUACUGGCGCUCAUGCACGAAAGCGUGGGUAGCAAACAGGAUUAGAUACCCUGGUAGUCCACGCCCUAAACUAUGUCAACUAGGUGUUGGGUGGGUAAAACCAUUUAGUACCGUAGCUAACGCGUGAAGUUGACCGCCUGGGGAGUACGGCCGCAAGGUUAAAACUCAAAGGAAUUGACGGGGACCCGCACAAGCGGUGGAUGAUGUGGAUUAAUUCGAUGCAACGCGAAAAACCUUACCUACCCUUGACAUGCCAGGAACUUGCCAGAGAUGGCUUGGUGCCCGAAAGGGAGCCUGGACACAGGUGCUGCAUGGCUGUCGUCAGCUCGUGUCGUGAGAUGUUGGGUUAAGUCCCGCAACGAGCGCAACCCUUGUCGUUAAUUGCCUUCAUUUAGUUGGGCACUUUAACGAGACUGCCGGUGACAAACCGGAGGAAGGUGGGGAUGACGUCAAGUCCUCAUGGCCCUUAUGGGUAGGGCUUCACACGUCAUACAAUGGUCGGUACAAAGGGUUGCCAAGCCGCGAGGCGGAGCCAAUCCCAGAAAGCCGAUCGUAGUCCGGAUUGCAGGCUGCAACUCGCCUGCAUGAAGUCGGAAUCGCUAGUAAUCGUGGAUCAGCAUGUCACGGUGAAUACGUUCCCGGGUCUUGUACACACCGCCCGUCACACCAUGGGAGCGGGUUCCGCCAGAAGUAGGUAGCCUAACCGCAAGGGGGGCGCUUACCACGGCGGGGUUCGUGACUGGGGUGAAGUCGGAACAAGGUAGCCGUAGGGGAACCUGCGGCUG
RNAcentral lists this ribosomal RNA (1286 nucleotides) under metagenome. Its description in RNAcentral is "bacterial SSU rRNA". It matches the Rfam family "Bacterial small subunit ribosomal RNA", at positions 242 to 1520 of the family's 1533-position model. The record is from RNAcentral.